CCUACGGGAGGCAGCAGUAGGGAAUAUUGCACAAUGGAGGAAACUCUGAUGCAGCGACGCCGCGUGAGUGACGAAGGCCUUCGGGUUGUAAAGCUCUGUUCUCUGGGAAAUUGUACCAGAGAAGAAAGGACCGGCUAACUUCGUGCCAGCAGCCGCGGUAAGACGAGGGGUCCAAGCGUUGUUCGGAAUCAUUGGGCGUAAAGCGGGUGUAGGUGGCUCUAUAAGUCAGGAGUGAAAGCCCCAAGCUUAACUUGGGAAGUGCUUUUGAUACUGCAGAGCUUGAAUGUGGGAGAGGAUAGUAGAAUUCCAGGUGUAGUGGUGAAAUACGUAGAUAUCUGGAGGAAUACCGGAGGCGAAGGCGGCUAUCUGGCCCAAAUGACACUGAGACCCGAAAGCGUGGGGAUCAAACAGGAUUAGAUACCCUUGUAGUC
RNAcentral lists this ribosomal RNA (431 nucleotides) under uncultured bacterium. Its description in RNAcentral is "partial 16S ribosomal RNA". It matches the Rfam family "Bacterial small subunit ribosomal RNA", at positions 338 to 795 of the family's 1533-position model. The record is from RNAcentral.